Rhinopithecus roxellana (golden snub-nosed monkey) is the source of this 2976-nucleotide long non-coding RNA. RefSeq lists it as uncharacterized. The record is from RefSeq and is a predicted model, not a curated record. The transcript is spliced from 3 exons. NCBI's taxonomy places the organism in Eukaryota, Metazoa, Chordata, Mammalia, Primates, Cercopithecidae.
UGAAUCCGGGAGGCGGAGGUUGCAGUGAGCUGAGAUCGUACCACUGCACUCCAGCCUGAGUGAUAGAAUGAGACUGCGUUUCCAAACAAAACAAAAUUUCAUACAUUGCCCAAAGUGACCUAAAGAUUUCCCAAAUCAACUUCUAAAUUUAUUACAGAUACACUGAGAUAUAGAGCAUUGCAAUGACUUAAGUGAGUUUCUUAUAAGGAAAUGAGUAUAUGUUUGGGUAAUGAAUGGCAUUGGAGUCUGUUUGCUGCUUCUGUUUCAUAUCCUCAAAGUAAUCACACCAAGACAACUCAUGGUUGUUAAUCACUAGACCUUCAGGUUGGAACUGCCAUAAAUAUUGAUAAUGCCCAGGCCAGUGCCUCAGCUGGAAGUCCAAUGUUUCUUCAUAAUCAUGAUGAAGCCACUUCAUCAUUUUCUAAAUGAGACAGUUACCUCAUGAGUAUCUCAUAACAAUUUCCCUCAUAUAUAGAUGGACUUAAUUCUAAACAUUCUAAUAAUAUUUCUUGAUUUAGCUUGUAUGUUUCCAUGUUAAUCACUGUUGAGGUUGUGAGAAUAAUUACAUUUAUUCUAUUGUAAUGGAGAUCAUACUAAGUACUGGGAGUGAAAAUAGUUUCUAGGAGGCAUAAGAAAUUCUUUGAUUUGAACAUGCUGGGAUACUUCUUUUAAUGGAUCGACGUUGGAAAUGUGUAGCAAUUACAAGGAGCUGGAAAGUUAUUCUGAAAGCCCUAUGUUUUCAUUUUUAUAGCAGCCUCCCAAUUAUGCUUUCAUUUAAUAUUUAGUUCUUCUCUGGCAUAGGUAGCUAGAAAAGAUAAAAUUAAGACUUCACCCAUCAUAUUAUGUUUGUGCAAUUGUGGAAUUGUUUUAUCAUAACAAAUAUAGCUAUUGUGUUAUGUUAAUAUUGACGUAUCUAUUGAAGGGCAUCUGUAUGCUCCUGUGGCUGCAUUUUUUAUUUACUGGGUAUGUUGGACCUCAUUAAAAUGAGGCCACUUCAUACUGUAAACUACUUUUUCUGCAAAGAGUAAGUAAGGACAGCUUGUGAUGGGUGACCUCUGGCCCAAUAUUAUGAUAUGUCUGGGAGAGAGUGGCUGGAAGACCUUCAGAUCAGAAGAAAAUCUUCCUAUUUAUUUUGAGAAACACUAAUUGUCAGGUACAGAUGGUCUCAUGAUGGUUUAAUGACUUUUCAACUUUACAGUGGUGCUAAAGCAAUAUGCAUUUCAGUGUGCUCCUUGACUUAUGAUGGGGUUAUGUACAGAUAAGCUGGAUAUUGUAAGUUGAAUUAUGAUGUUUUCGAUUUAUGCUGGAUUUAUCAGGAUAUUACCCCACUGCAAGUCAAGGAGCAUCUGGAUAUUCCUGUGGUGUUUUAUCACUUUGUCAACCUAGCUAAGCAAGGAAUAUGUUUCAGAUAACUUUUUCCUAGUACGGUUCCAGGUUAGAGUCGAUCAUGGGGGAAGAAAUGCAUGAAGUUUGUAAGAGGAAAGUAAAACAGCUGGCACUGAGUUGUGAAGUCAUCACUGGCUCCAGGCAGUGAGAAGUGGCAUCAAAAGUGCCGACAGUCUUUCCCCAUCCCAUCACCUCUGGAGAAUGGCUUGUACAUAGAGCACAGAUAACACUAUGGGCCUGUGUCUCUCCCACCGCCAUGAAGGUCCCUGGCUCCAUCCUCUGGCUCAGAGAAUGACUGAUGUGGAGGUACUUUGGGGACUGAGUGAUUCCGCCAUCCACGGUGUCUGGAAAAGAAAGAGAGGCAUGCCUGAAGUACAGCGCAGGGAGGUGCCUGAUGCUGCUGUCCCUUAGGGAAGCCUUGGAUUUGGAACUUGCAGCAUUCCAGAUAGGAAUUUUCUCCCUGAACCCAGGACUCACUUGCUCCGAGGAGACAAAGGACCACACAGCAGAGCACCUGGUUGCUCAUAGUGGAAAGGGGGCCUCCUUGUAGCUCCAAGCACUUGUGGGAAGACAAUGAGAAAAGAGGCUUGGCUCUGGGACUUCUCCUGACCUAAUGUGCAGAGUUUGUCAGUGGCUGGAACGAAGAGGUGGGAGGUUCCUGGAAAUACUCAAGACAGGCUUUCUAAUUUUGCAGAUGAGGAGACAGGACAAAGAGCAGAGUCACUGGCACCUCCCAUAACUCUGCGUUGCAUCUGUGCUGAGGGGGCUGGCACCCCACGUUUCCGGGCCAGAGUUUCACUCCAAUUGGCCCAUUGGUUUUUAUCUUUCCAGCGACCGUAAGGUUUGGGUUCCUCUAGAGCGCUGUAGACACUCUGAUUAUACAAGAAUGUGGAGUUCAUUUAUUUUUCCUUUUUUUAAAAACAAAACAAAACAAAACAAAAAAAACAUUGAUACAUAAUGUGUGUACCUAUUUGUGGGUACCUGUGGUAUUUUGUUAUAUGCAUAGAAUGUGUAAGGAUGAACUCAGGGUAUGUAGGAAGUCCAUCCCCUGGAGAACUUAUCAUUGUUUAUGCCCUCAGCUCUCUCGGGGAAAGAUGACCCCUGGGGUCUGGCCAGUGGUGCUAUGGCCACUGUGACAGCCUUUUGCUUAGCUGUCCUGCUGCACAGAGCCCAGCGCUGCUGUUCCAGGUCCUUCACGCAAUCACAGCAAGACCUUGCCUCCUUUGACCACCUUCCACCUUCUAACUGGUUGGUUUCACUCACGUCCUUCUCAUUCUCCUACUUGUUUCUUUGUCUUUGCCUUUGUCCUGACUAAAUUUUCUUUUGGGUUUACUCUCCCUUGGUCAUCUUUUAAUUUAUUUUUCAUGACUGGGAUAAUUUUGUCUUUUUCUUUCAUGUCCCUCCUGAGUUCAAUCAAUUUUUUUUUCUGAUGUCUUCCCAUUUUGGCCAUUUCUAGUCUGAGUUUUUGAACUGCUGGUCUGGUUAUGGUCACUUAUACCCUCAGCUGCUUCCUUGAGUGUAUUUAUUUCUGUUUGGAGUGUAGACUUACGUUUUCUUCUGCCUCAUGAUUGCUUUUGAGGUAAGGGAACA